CAGUCGCCGCGGUAAUACGUAGGGUGCAAGCGUUAACCGGAAUUACUGGGCGUAAAGCGUGCGCAGGCGGUUUGUUAAGACAGAUGUGAAAUCCCCGGGCUCAACCUGGGAACUGCAUUUGUGACUGGCAAGCUAGAGUGUGGCAGAGGGGGGUGGAAUUCCGCGUGUAGCAGUGAAAUGCGUAGAUAUGCGGAGGAACACCGAUGGCGAAGGCAGCCCCCUGGGCCAACACUGACGCUCAUGCACGAAAGCGUGGGGAGCAAACAGGAUUAGAUACCCCGGUAGUCCCUGUCUCUUAUAC
Molecule: ribosomal RNA, 301 nt
Filed under: uncultured bacterium
Lineage: Bacteria
Description: partial 16S ribosomal RNA
Rfam family: Bacterial small subunit ribosomal RNA
Source: RNAcentral